GAUGAACGCUGGCUACAGGCUUAACACAUGCAAGUCGAGGGGUAACGAGAGGAAAGCUUGCUUUCCUUGUCGACGACCGGCGCACGGGUGAGUAACGCGUAUCCAACCUGCCCCCAACUAAGGAAUAACCUUGCGAAAGUAAGACUAAUACCUUAUAAUUUCCUCAGAUGUCAUCUGACGAGGAAUAAAGAUUUAUCGGUUGUGGAUGGGGAUGCGUCUGAUUAGCUUGUUGGCGGGGUAACGGCCCACCAAGGCAACGAUCAGUAGGGGUUCUGAGAGGAAGGUCCCCCACAUUGGAACUGAGGCACGGUCCAAACUCCUACGGGAGGCAGCAGUGAGGAAUAUUGGUCAAUGGGCGAAAGCCUGAACCAGCCAAGUAGCGUGCAGGAUGACGGCCCUAUGGGUUGUAAACUGCUUUUAUACAGGAAUAAAGUUAGCCACGUGUGGUUAUUUGUAGGUACUGUAUGAAUAAGGACCGGCUAAUUCCGUGCCAGCCGCCGCAGUAA
This 506-nucleotide ribosomal RNA is filed under the name uncultured bacterium. RNAcentral's name for it is "partial 16S ribosomal RNA". It matches the Rfam family "Bacterial small subunit ribosomal RNA", at positions 28 to 523 of the family's 1533-position model. The record is from RNAcentral.